Long non-coding RNA from Dreissena polymorpha, 2203 nucleotides. RefSeq lists it as uncharacterized. Lineage: Eukaryota; Metazoa; Mollusca; Bivalvia; Myida; Dreissenidae. The record is from RefSeq and is a predicted model, not a curated record. The transcript is spliced from 3 exons.
AGAAGAAGUAAAUGCGUCAGACAGCCAUCUAAGAGAAUGUUGUUGUAUUCUCAGGACACAGAUUCAGAUUCAAGUCUACAGAAGAGUUAAGGAAAACGUCCUGCCAGAAAGAUCCAGAAAGUUGAUACAUUAGCAACAAUAACUAAGUGGUGCUCUUGUCACAGAUGCCCACAAUACGAGAGAGUGGAAGAUCGAGUUUGCUGUGGGAUGGUCCCAGAAUUAUGCUCAAGUCACAGACCUGAGAUGACUCUUUCGGUGCUGGAUAGGAUGACCCUCUACAGUCAGCAGCAGUAUCAACAAGAUGUGUUUUCCUUUUAUGCAGAGACACUAGAAGAUGUCAAUAAAUCUUUCAGACAUGCUGCAUACAGACAAUUUACCAUCUUAAUGCAUGAGAAUAACUGUCCCAGCAUGUUGUGUUAAAUUAAUAAGGGAGAAGUUUCCUAGUCCUUAAGGCCAGUAUCCAGGCUUCGUACCAGGUGAAGGCCCAGUGUUCUAAUAAUUUUGCAUAUUUAUGCCCCCCUUCGAAGAAGAGGGGGUAUAUAGUUUUGCACAUGUCGGUCCGUCCACCAGAUGGUUUCGGGAUGAUAACUCAAGAAUGCAUACGCCUAGGAUCUUGAAACUUCAUAGGUACAUUGAUCACGACUGGCAGAGGACCCCUUUAGAUUUUCCGGUCACAAGGUCAAGGUCACAGUGACUCAAAACAAUAAAAUGGUUUCCAGCUGAUAACUCAAGAAUGCUUACGCCUUUUGAUCAUGAAACUUCAUAGCUACAUUGAUAAUGACUGGCAGAUGACCCCUUUUGAUUUUCAGGUCACUAGGUCAAGGUCACAGUGACUCGAAAUAGUAAAAUGGUUUCCUGAUGAUAACUCAAGAAUAAUUAGGCCUAGGAUCAGGAAACUACAUAGGUACAUUGAUCAUGACUGACAGAUGACCCCUAUUAAUUUUCAGGUCACUAUGUCAAAGGUCAAGGUCACAGUGACAAAAAACGUAUUCACACAAUAGCUGCCACUACAACUGACAGCCCAUAUGGGGGGCAUGCAUGUUUUACAAACAGCCCGUGUUGCUAUUCUUUUUCAUUUAUCAGACAUAGAACUUUUCUUAGUUUUGAUUAUUUUUUGUUCUGGCUCCUUUUUUGAAACAUUUAUAUUUAUGCAAAUCAUUUGAGUUAUGCUUAAUCAUUUGGAUUUUUCAGUUCUAUGCAUUUUGUUUUGAAAAAUCAAUUUGUGUGAAAUGUGCUAGUUUAUUAUUAAAACUUGCACAGCAGUUUUUACAUUUGUAUGCUUACUUUGGUGUCAUUUGAAUGAAAUGCCACGAGUACUCUGGAUUGUAAGAUGAAAGAAAUAAAAGAAGCAAUGACAUAUUUCUUAAGAAUACUAUGUAAAUAAACUAAUUGAAAAUCAAAAUUCAUUUCUUGUAUACUUAUUUUAUUUUCUUGUUUGAACUUAAUAGUUUGAUUUUUACACUUUUUAGCUCACCUGAACACAAUGUGCUCAUGGUGAGCUUUUGUGAUCGCCUUUUGUCCGUCGUGCGGCGUCUACAUUUGCCUUGUUAACACUCUACAGCCGUAAAAUAAAGAUUGGUCUCAAUGAUAUUUUGGAUGAGUUCAAAAAUGGUAACGUUUGCUUGAAAAGACCGUUCAUAAAAAAAAACAGUCAAUAGUGUAUUACCUGUUUUUAUUUUUUAUAUCUUUUGCUUUUAUUCAAUUUUAAGUUUGCAUUUUGAUUUUUUUAUUAUGCCCCCCUUCGAAGAAGAGGAGGUAUGUUGUUCGCUCAUGUCGGUCAGUCCGUCCACCGAAUGGUUUCCGGAUUAUAACUCAAGAACACUUACGCCUAGGAUCAUGAAACUUCAUAGGUACAUUGAUCAUGACUGGCAGAUGACCCCUAUUGAUUUUUAGGUCACUAGGUCAAAGGUCAAGGUUACGGUGACUCGCACAGAAAAAUGGUUUCCAGCUGAUAACUCAAGAACGCUUAAGCCUAGGAUCAUGAAACUUCAUAGGUACAUUGAUCAUGACUCGCAGAUGACCCCUAUUGAUUUUCAGGUCACUAGGUCAAAGGUCAAGGUGACUCGACACAGUAAAAUAGUUUCCGGAUGAUAACUCAAGAAAGCUUACGCCUAGGAUCAUGAAACUUCAUAAGUUCAUUGAUCACGACUCGCAGAUGACCCCUAUUGAUUUUCAGGUGACUAGGUCAAAGGUCAAUGUCACA